This 253-nucleotide ribosomal RNA is filed under the name uncultured bacterium. Its description in RNAcentral is "partial 16S ribosomal RNA". It matches the Rfam family "Bacterial small subunit ribosomal RNA", at positions 524 to 776 of the family's 1533-position model. The record is from RNAcentral.
UACGUAGGUGACAAGCGUUAUCCGGAUUUACUGGGCGUAAAGCGCACGCAGGCGGUCUGCUAAGUUUGGAGUGACAGUUGGUGGCUUAACUGCCAAAGUGCUUCGAAAACUGACAGACUUGAGGGCUUCAGAGGGACACGGAAUUCCGGGUGGAGUGGUGAAAUGCGUAGAGAUCCGGAGGAACACCAAAGGCGAAGGCAGUGUCCUGGGGAGUACCUGACGCUCAGGUGCGAAAGCCAGGGGAGCGAACGGG